Macadamia integrifolia is the source of this 3886-nucleotide RNA transcript. It is a transcript of the gene named putative pentatricopeptide repeat-containing protein At3g01580, with no coding region annotated. The transcript is spliced from 4 exons. Lineage: Eukaryota; Viridiplantae; Streptophyta; Magnoliopsida; Proteales; Proteaceae. The record is from RefSeq and is a predicted model, not a curated record.
UCCAUCCGACGUGGCUCACAGUUCACCAGCUAGCACUAAUCCAUUUCUGUCUGCGUCUUUUUGAGUGCCAGAGAAAGAAAGAGGUGUUUAUAGCGGGAAAUGUUGAUCACCAUUUACGGAUUUGGAAUCUCUCAUUCUGGUGGAUUCUCUCUCCCAUUCUGUGACGAUUCAUUUAACUCGGGUUCUAUACCAAAGAAGAGGAGUUCGCUUUCAUGGGCUCCUUCAGAACUGCGUUCUGCUCGAAACAGAGAACUGAUUGAGUCCAAGGCAAAUAAGGCAAGCAAAAAUUACGACAUCAAAUGUAAAGAAAGCAGAGUAGAAAAAAUUUCAGAGUUUGGUCUCAAGCCCAUCUCAAAGCAAUCAAUCACAGAGCUGAAAUAUACCCAUGCUCUGCAGAAAUUGUUGGAGUUGCAGAGACUUGAUGAAGCAAAGGACUUGUGUUUGAAGAUGAAAAGAAAAGGAUUUGAACCUCCGAUUGUUCUACAGUCAAUGCUGAUUGAUCUCUUUAUGAAAUCUGCUUGUAUCUCUGAUGCUUAUGAGGUGUUUGGAGAAAUGCCCGAAAGGAAUGUAGUCACUUGGACCUCCAUGAUUUCUGGCUGUGUUCGGAAUGGCUAUCCGGAAGUUGGCAUUUCUUUGUUUUGGGAGAUGAUUAAAGUGGGUGUUCUUCCCAAUGAUGUCACCUUCAAUGUUAUACUUCAGGCUUGUGCUGACCUUUCUACAUUGAAUUUUGGAAUUCAAAUUCAUUCCUUAAUUGUAAGAGCUGGGUUCUUUAGUGAUUAUAGGAUCGAAAAUUGCUUGAUUUAUUUUUACUCAAAGUGCGGCUUAGUUGAUUUAGCCCACCAAGUUUUCAUCAGAAUGUUGAAGCCUGAUUUGGUAUCUUUCACUUCUAUGAUUGGAGGUUAUUUAAAGAAUGGUUUGCUUGAACCAGCAUUUGGAUUGUUUGAUACGAUGAGGAAGUUGGGGCUGGACCCAAAUGAACACACCAUCAGUAGCAUUUUGGUUGCCUGUCAACCAAUGGUUGGUGAGCAGAUUCAUGCUUACAUGGUUAAAACCUUGUUGGAUCGGAGUCUCUACUCUGCAAGUGCUCUGAUUGAAUUUUAUUCAAAGAACAACUCCUUUGAGAGUGCCAUGCUGGUUUUUGAAAAGUUAGGGACUAUGAGUGUGGUGACCUGGAGCUCAAUGAUCUCCUGCUGUGCCAGAAAUGGGCUUGGAUAUGAUGCUCUGGAGUUGUUCUAUAGAAUGGUCAAUUUAGGGAUCAAACCCAAUAAGUAUACCUUUGUUGCUGUGAUUGGGGCUUGUGGUUUAUCCUCUAUGUUCAUGGGAAUGGGAAAGCAAGUCCAUUGCUUUGUAAUAAAGUUGAAUUUGGGAUUGGACAACCGGAUCUUAAAUGCUUUGGUUACCAUGUAUGCAAGAAACAGCAAGAUAGAAGAGCUUGGGAAAGUGUUUGAGAAAAUCCAGGAUCCUGAUACUGUUUCAUGGUCUGCAGCCAUAAUUGGUUACUCCCAAAAUGCGUUGAGUGGGAAAUCAACAAGCUUGUUUUGCCAAAUGCAUAAAAGUGGAGCUAAGCCUAAUGAAUAUGGAUUUUCUGGCGUUCUUAGUUCAUGUUCUACUCAGGCUUUAUUGGAUCAAGGAAAACAGGUUCAUGGUUUUGCAUUGAAGCUAGGAUGUGAUACUGAUGUUUGCGUAGGAAACUCACUUGUUAAUAUGUAUGCCAAGUGUGGGAAUAUCGAUAAUGCGAGGUUGACAUUUGAUGGCAUGCCCAGACGCGAUCUCAUGUCAUGGAACACGUUGAUUCACGGGUAUGCUCAUCAUGGGCAUGGGAAAAAGGCCUUUCAACUCUUUGAUGAGAUGGUUGAAUCAGGGUCCAUCAAACCUAACAAUGCUACAUUUGUGGGAAUCUUGAAUGCAUGUAGUCAUGCAGGUUAUGUGGAAGAAGGAUUCGAGUACUUUAAGAUCAUGGAGAGUUGCUACGGAAUUGUCCCUUCCAUUUCUCACUAUGCUUGUCUAGUUGACAUGAUGGGCCGAGUGGGAAGGCUCGAUGACGCAGUCCUGAUCAUUGAACACAUGCCAUUCCAACCAGAUUAUUUGAUAUGGAAAACUCUUUUAGGAUCUUGUAGAGUGCACAUGAACUUAAAGCUUGGUAAGUGCGCUGCACAGAGGGCUAUUGAAUUGUCCCCUGAGGAUUCUGCAAAUUAUGUUCUUCUUUCAAACUUACUUGCUGAGUGUGGGGAAAGGUUGGACUCCGAGAGGACAAGGAAGAUGAUGGAAGAGAGAGGAGUGAAGAAAGAUGCUGGUUGGAGUUGGAUUGAGAUAAAGAGUGUGGUGAAUGCAUUUAUUGCUAGGGACAGAAAUCACCCGGAAGCAGAAGCCAUCUACCAUAUAUUGGAUGAACUUUUAGUGAAAAUGAAAGAAGAAGGUUACUCCCCUGACUUCAGCUGGGCACUCUAUGAUUCAUGAGAAGGGAAUAACCGACAAUAAUACUUCCAUAAUGGUCUUGAGUAUUGUGAUCCUUUAAAAUACCAAAUAGGAGGUAAAGCUUUCCUUUUCAAAAUGCAGCCUCAAAAACCUGGAGGAGGAGAGCGCAAAAAGGUAAAUGUACAGAAACAACUGCAAAGUAAUUUCUCUAUCAUUAGAAGGAAGAUUAAUAAUUGCAUGCAAGGAUUACUGAUGGCGGAAAGUGCUCUCUACCUGCAACAUUUGAGUUGAAGGGCUAUCUUUUGGGAUUUGGUAAAGGUAGAACUUGAAACCAGAUGCAAGAACAAUGACCUUGAUAUCAUAGUACUUCCACAGAGAGCAUAUCCAUCAUCUCACCCUCUACUGUCCUCAAUCCACACUUUGAAAAUUAGAUCUAUCUGUGCUCCCACUGAAGUAAUAAAGGUCAAGGAGUUGAAAUACCUGGACUUGUGUUGUGAAAACUACAUCAUCUUCGUCAAAAUGGUUGCCCGCAAAGCAUGGGAGAUCUCUUGGAUACAACCUUACCAAAGUCUACAAUGUACAUAGCCAAGUAAAGUAUAGCAACAUUGUGAUCAUGGACAUGCUUGUGGUUGUUCCUUUGCUUAGAUAUUUCAGAAACUGGUGGUUCUGAGUGAUGUCCGUUUGUGACUACAAUGAUAGGAAACCAAAUCCAUGCGACAAAAGAAACGAUACCUCAGAGCACUUGGCAUUAAGCACUCCACGAGUUGCACAGAUCAGUCGAGUAUCUUCGUGAUUCGGCUUCAGUGACGCAAGGCAAGUCCCUUUCAGUUUUUUCCUUGUUCAGUAUUUGGAUGCUAAUGUGUGCAUUUUUUAUGUUUUCUUUAAGCUUUAAUCCAUUCAAUACCUAACAUCUCCUUUAUUGCAAGGAAUGGAUAGAGAACAUGCACAAUCUUUCUGUCUCUUUUAUCAGAAUUUAGGUUUCUCUAAUACUAGCUGAAGCCAAUCAGCGGCUCUGAUAUGGAAAAAUGGAAUCAUCGACAGUGUUUGGUGCUGUAGAGGAUGAAGACACUCAAGUGUAUCUUCCGUCUCCAGAUAACAGAAGGAUGAGGUUCUUUGGAGCGAGAUAUAUUUGUGGUGUUCCAAGUUUCUCAUGAACCUAAUCUAAACAAAAUUAUUUGGAUGGGUGAUCGCUAUGAAGAACAUAACCUUUCCAGUAUGGAGGUUCAUUCUCUAUUACUUUUAUGGGUCAUAAGGAGUGUAUUCGUCUGAGCAAUGAGAAGAUUCAGUUUGUUCGGAUAUUGCAUCCUGAUGUUGGGGAAAAUGAAGUAGGAAGUUUGUAAUCAAAUUCCAAUCUUGCAGGAAAUCGAACCUAUGCUCUACUUCAAAGUGUUGUGUUGGUGGUUAGAUUUCACCUUUUGUCAAAAGUGUACUGAUGAAAGAAAAUUGAUAUUGAAAGUGCCCGAUUCAAAAG